Molecule: ribosomal RNA, 686 nt
Filed under: uncultured bacterium
Lineage: Bacteria
Description: bacterial SSU rRNA
Rfam family: Bacterial small subunit ribosomal RNA
Source: RNAcentral
GGCGAACGGGUGAGUAACACGUGGGCAACCUGCCCUCAGCUCUGGGAUAACUCCAAGAAAUUGGGGCUAAUACCGGAUAUGACCGCUGACCGCAUGGUCUGGUGGUGGAAAGAUUUAUCGGCUGGGGAUGGGCCCGCGGCCUAUCAGCUUGUUGGUGGGGUAGUGGCCUACCAAGGCGACGACGGGUAGCCGGCCUGAGAGGGUGACCGGCCACACUGGGACUGAGACACGGCCCAGACUCCUACGGGAGGCAGCAGUGGGGAAUAUUGCGCAAUGGGCGAAAGCCUGACGCAGCGACGCCGCGUGGGGGAUGACGGCCUUCGGGUUGUAAACCUCUUUCAGCAGGGACGAAGCGAAAGUGACGGUACCUGCAGAAGAAGCACCGGCCAACUACGUGCCAGCAGCCGCGGUAAUACGUAGGGUGCAAGCGUUGUCCGGAAUUAUUGGGCGUAAGGAGCUCGUAGGCGGUUUGUUGCGUCGGCUGUGAAAUCCCGAGGCUCAACCUCGGGUCUGCAGUCGAUACGAGCAAACUAGAGUGUUGCAGGGGAGACUGGAAUUCCUGGUGUAGCGGUGAAAUGCGCAGAUAUCAGGAGGAACACCGGUGGCGAAGGCGGGUCUCUGGGCAACAACUGACGCUGAGGAGCGAAAGCGUGGGGAGCGAACAGGAUUAGAUACCCUGGUAGUCC